This is a transfer RNA of 82 nucleotides. It matches the Rfam family "tRNA". Rfam says of the family: Transfer RNA (tRNA) molecules are approximately 80 nucleotides in length. Their secondary structure includes four short double-helical elements and three loops (D, anti-codon, and T loops). The record is from Rfam.
GCGGACGUGGUGGAAUUGGUAGACACACUGGAUUUAGGUUCCAGCGCCGCAAGGCGUGAGAGUUCGAGUCUCUCCGUCCGCA